AGAGACAGCAGCCGCCGCGGUAAUGCGUAGGGUGCGAGCGUUAAUCGGAAUUACUGGGGGUAAAGCGUGCGCAGGCGGUUAUAUAAGACAGAUGUGAAAUCCCCGGGCUCAACCUGGGACCUGCAUUUGUGACUGUAUAGCUAGAGUACGGUAGAGGGGGAUGGAAUUCCGCGUGUAGCAGUGAAAUGCGUAGAUAUGCGGAGGAACACCGAUGGCGAAGGCAAUCCCCUGGACCUGUACUGACGCUCAUGCGCGAAAGCGUGGGGAGCAAACAGGAUUAGAUACCCCCGUAGUCCCUGUCUCUUAUAC
RNAcentral lists this ribosomal RNA (309 nucleotides) under uncultured bacterium. RNAcentral describes it as "partial 16S ribosomal RNA". It matches the Rfam family "Bacterial small subunit ribosomal RNA", at positions 504 to 807 of the family's 1533-position model. The record is from RNAcentral.